AAGAGAAAUGUGUGUAUAAGAUAGAACUUACAGCGUUGACUGUACUGUAGCAGGCAGCUACUUAAUGGAAUUCCACUGAAGUACUUGUUUUAGGCAAAUAUAUUUGUUUCAGGGGAAAGCAGAGGGUUUCUAUUUGGAGAAUUAAAGUUCUGUUUUAUUGAGAAAGCAUAGUUGUGCGUCACACAAAUUCUAUCUUCCCAUCUCUGUUGUUGUUUGUUUGUAUGACAAAACGAAAAGCAAGUCUUGGUCAAAAAGUGACAUUUUAAUUAUUUUCAUCGUGUCUACCGACAAUACAUCAUAUGACAUUACCGCGAAAUUUCCUGGAAGCUUCAAUUGUAUAAAAUACAAGGGACUAAAUCUAAAAACGUCUAUUAGAAGUAGAUUUCUGAGUCAUUUCCAUUAAAUAUAAUUGUAACAUUUGUAAGAUUACGAUGAUUCUUUUUUGGAUGCUCAUGGUCAUGAAGGCCAUUAUAUUUGAUCUUAAAAAUUUAGUACAAAAUAAGUGACAAGAUUUCUUCAAAAUGAUGGGCUUAUUGCAAAAGUGAAAUGUGAAUGUCAAAAUUUUAUAAACUAACUUGAUGAAAUGAAAAUGCCAAUGAAUGACCUUAUUAUUUGUGGGGAAUGCAUUUAUUGUGUAUAUGUUGAAAAUGGUGGCCGACCAUAUUACUAAACUUGGUAAAUUUUGUCAAAGGGACAGCAAUUUGCUUGACAAUAGCAAAUUGUGCACCAAUAAAAUAAUGGACGUUGUUGUGACAUGGAUCAUCAUGUUGUGUCUUGACGGAGACUUGAGGUAAACUUGGUAGAGUCCUGACGGUAUUGAUGCAGGAAUCUGAUCGAUGGAACUACGACCAGGCUAUCUGCGCCAACGUUUAAAUUUUGUUUGCUAGGGAGCUGAUUCAGUGCGACGGCUAUCGCACUCGAGUAGAUAGCUUCAACCAAAACUCGCUAAGUUGAAUCACCUAUACUCACAAUAUCCAAUUAGAGCGGCACCAAAAAUUUUUUGGCAAAAAUCCUCCACGCUCAUGUCAGUAAUUGGGUCUCUUUUAGAAAAACUUGUAUCACAAACUCAUUACUUAAUUAUAUCAGUUGAAAGUUAGAAAUCUUAAUUCUCAAAACGAAGAAAAAUAAAUAGAGAGAAUUAUCGAGAGAGAAAAUAUGGAAAUAAAAAAAAAAAAUUUGUCCAGCCCUUUUUACCUCCAUUCUCCGUAGCUUUUAUACCCAACCUGAACCAUCGACUCCAUCUUCCCCACGAUUACUGUUGGCUUGGAAGUGAAAAGGUGCGUGCUGCGUCUUUGAAAUCAUGGGUCAAUGGACAAUGUAACUGCCGCUGAAUGGGCUUUGUGCCCGAGUUUCUUGGAGACAAACUACGUGUUGGCCUUUGAUCAAGCCUUCGAUCUGACUCGAUUUUGGUCUCUCCUCUCAUGGCCUGAGGUCUAUUAUCUAGUACUCGUACGACCAGUAUUCAGAUUUUUUUGAUACAAGCAGUGGUCAAUAGAGUCAACUAAGAUAAAACUUAAAUUUCCCGCCCAAAAAAAAAAACUAACAUACAUAAAGAAUUUGAAUCAUCCUUCAAUAAUAACAUAAAUAGCAACUACUGAGUCUAGUAAUUUGAUCAUUUCUGUAUUUGUCAAUGCAUUAUGGAUUCUAAGACCAGGCUCUAAAAUCAGCAAAUCCAAAAAUUGUUGAUAAUAUUACUUAGUAAGGUUACGAAUCCAUCCGCAAGACAGCUGUAAAUAGUCAUAUACCCUGAGGUAUGAACUUUUUAUAUGAUUAAUAAAGGAUAAGAGCAUAUUC
This 1794-nucleotide long non-coding RNA is filed under the name Citrus sinensis (sweet orange). RNAcentral's name for it is "long non-coding RNA (CSIN_LNC005526)". The record is from RNAcentral. Lineage: Eukaryota; Viridiplantae; Streptophyta; Magnoliopsida; Sapindales; Rutaceae.